Molecule: ribosomal RNA, 160 nt
Filed under: Ixiolaena viscosa
Lineage: Eukaryota; Viridiplantae; Streptophyta; Magnoliopsida; Asterales; Asteraceae
Description: 5.8S ribosomal RNA
Rfam family: 5.8S ribosomal RNA
About the family: 5.8S ribosomal RNA (5.8S rRNA) is a component of the large subunit of the eukaryotic ribosome.
Source: RNAcentral
ACGACUCUCGGCAACGGAUAUCUCGGCUCACGCAUCGAUGAAGAACGCAGCRAAAUGCGAUACUUGGUGUGAAUUGCAGAAUCCCGUGAACCAUCGAGUUUUUGAACGCAAGUUGCGCCCGAAGCCAUUCGGUUGAGGGCACGUCUGCCUGGGCGUCACG